CCACCACCACCACCCGUGAGCAGUGACAGUUGUUUUCGUUUCUAGCAAUAGCAAUGGAGUCCUCCUGCCGCUCCAGCAGGCCGAGCCCUCUCCUCGCCUUCCUCUGCUUCGUCGUCGUCCUCCUCCUCCUGGUCCUUCCCCUGCACCCGGCGUCCGCGGCGCCCACGUCAAGUGAGUUUCACCCCUUUCUGCUCCGACACUCGGUUCCUGAUUCUUCCGUUCUUGAUCCAUGAUACAUGUGUCAUAGAUCCAGCUGCUUUUGCCCCGGUUGCCGUCGCUGAUCAUUCGUGUGGUGAUCUUGCAGGGAGCAUGCGCCUGAGGAACCAGCAGCACCCGCCGUCUCUGAAGCUUUCUUCUCUGCAGGAGAUGACGACGGCGGCGACCGGGAAGCUGCGGGGCCGGGCGGCGGCGAGGAUGGACGUGGAGGUGAACGACUACCCCGGGUCCGGCCCCAACAACCGCCAUGACCCUCCGAAGGGCCCCGGAAGAGGGUGAACCAAGCUCACCGCCACCGGCACCAGCUGGCCUGGCCUGCUGCUGCUGGUGCCGCUCUGUCCGUAGCUAUAGCCAUUACUACUGUUACUGUGCUUCACACCAUGCAUGCAUAAACUAAGGAAAGAUCAAGUGAUGUUUUGCUCGGCCGGGUCUCUCCUCUCCUCUUCCUAGUACUGUAUCUGUCAACUCAACUGUCAUGUACUGAUGUACAUCGUGUUCCAUAUGACACCACAGUUUCAGAUUAGUUAAUGCCGACUCUCUUGGCCUCUCUCGAUCAAUCGUUCCAUCUAAUCAAUCGGUUUAGGGCGCCCACGGGUUUGCU
This 817-nucleotide long non-coding RNA is filed under the name Triticum aestivum (bread wheat). RNAcentral describes it as "long non-coding RNA (TAES_LNC008436)". The record is from RNAcentral. Lineage: Eukaryota; Viridiplantae; Streptophyta; Magnoliopsida; Poales; Poaceae.